This 252-nucleotide ribosomal RNA is filed under the name uncultured bacterium. RNAcentral's name for it is "partial 16S ribosomal RNA". It matches the Rfam family "Bacterial small subunit ribosomal RNA", at positions 524 to 776 of the family's 1533-position model. The record is from RNAcentral.
UACGUAGGGUGCAAGCGUUGUCCGGAAUUAUUGGGCGUAAAGAGCUCGUAGGCGGUCUGUCGCGUCUGCUGUGAAAACUCGGGGCUUAACCCCGGGCCUGCAGUGGGUACGGGCAGACUAGAGUGCGGUAGGGGAGACUGGAAUUCCUGGUGUAGCGGUGAAAUGCGCAGAUAUCAGGAGGAACACCGGUGGCGAAGGCGGGUCUCUGGGCCGACACUGACACUGAGGAGCGAAAGCCAGGGAGCAAACGGG